UGGCGAACGGGUGAGUAACACGUGGGCAAUCUGCCCUGCACUCUGGGAUAAGCCUGGGAAACUGGGUCUAAUACCGGAUAGGACCUUUAUCCUCAUGGGGUUUGGUGGAAAGUUUUUCGGUGCAGGAUGAGCCCGCGGCCUAUCAGCUUGUUGGUGGGGUAAUGGCCUACCAAGGCGACGACGGGUAGCCGGCCUGAGAGGGUGAUCGGCCACAUUGGGACUGAGAUACGGCCCAG
This 236-nucleotide ribosomal RNA is filed under the name uncultured Actinomycetales bacterium. Its description in RNAcentral is "partial 16S ribosomal RNA". It matches the Rfam family "Bacterial small subunit ribosomal RNA", at positions 96 to 334 of the family's 1533-position model. Lineage: Bacteria; Bacillati; Actinomycetota; Actinomycetes; Actinomycetales. The record is from RNAcentral.